CCGUCUUGUGUUAUUCUAUAGUCUUUGGUUGUACGCUGUCCGCCAUUUUCUCCGCGCUCGAGCAGCUGUAGUAACAACAAUGUCUGGACCUCUGCAGGCACAAAAGUAUGUGUUGUUCUCCUUCUUUGUGAAGGCUCUCCCCUCGUCUGCAGACAGAUAGAGGGAGACAGAAGAUGGUGGUUAUCACUGGAGUCAUGGGCCCUGAUCAGAGGCAGGGUGCUGGGUCUUAUCUUAAUGAAGCUGUGCUUAUCAUGAGCUCGAGGUCACUGCUAUCUGUCUGACCUCUGACUGCACCCUCUUUCUGUCAAUUAACCCACUCACAAAAGUCUAUCUACCCUUUUACACUUACUUACAUACAGUUUCAAUAAAAAGUUACUGUUCAGCUAUUUUGAUUAAAAAAUGAAAA
Long non-coding RNA from Ctenopharyngodon idella (grass carp), 406 nucleotides. RefSeq lists it as uncharacterized. The transcript is spliced from 3 exons. The record is from RefSeq and is a predicted model, not a curated record. NCBI's taxonomy places the organism in Eukaryota, Metazoa, Chordata, Actinopteri, Cypriniformes, Xenocyprididae.